AACGAACGCUGGCGGCAUGCCUAACACAUGCAAGUCGAACGAGACCUUCGGGUCUAGUGGCGCACGGGUGCGUAACGCGUGGGAACCUGCCCUUAGGUUCGGAAUAACUCCCCGAAAGGGGUGCUAAUACCGGAUAAUGUCUUCGGACCAAAGAUUUAUCGCCUUUGGAUGGGCCCGCGUUGGAUUAGCUAGUUGGUAGGGUAAAAGCCUACCAAGGCGACGAUCCAUAGCUGGUCUGAGAGGAUGAUCAGCCACACUGGGACUGAGACACGGCCCAGACUCCUACGGGAGGCAGCAGUGGGAAUAUUGGACAGUGGGCGAAAGCCUGAUCCAGCAAUGCCGCGUGAGUGAUGAAGGCCUUAGGGUUGUAAAGCUCUUUUACCCGGGAUGAUAAUGACAGUACCGGGAGAAUAAGCUCCGGCUAACUCCGUG
This 432-nucleotide ribosomal RNA is filed under the name uncultured bacterium. RNAcentral's name for it is "partial 16S ribosomal RNA". It matches the Rfam family "Bacterial small subunit ribosomal RNA", at positions 29 to 507 of the family's 1533-position model. The record is from RNAcentral.